CAGUAGCCGCGGUAAUACGGAGGGAGCUAGCGUUGUUCGGAAUUACUGGGCGUAAAGCGCACGUAGGCGGCUUUGUAAGUUAGAGGUGAAAGCCUGGAGCUCAACUCCAGAAUUGCCUUUAAGACUGCAUCGCUUGAAUCCAGGAGAGGUGAGUGGAAUUCCGAGUGUAGAGGUGAAAUUCGUAGAUAUUCGGAAGAACACCAGUGGCGAAGGCGGCUCACUGGACUGGUAUUGACACUGAGGUGCGAAAGCGUGGGGAGCAAACAGGAUUAGAUACCCCAGUAGUCCCUGUCUCUUAUAC
Molecule: ribosomal RNA, 301 nt
Filed under: uncultured bacterium
Lineage: Bacteria
Description: partial 16S ribosomal RNA
Rfam family: Bacterial small subunit ribosomal RNA
Source: RNAcentral